Molecule: ribosomal RNA, 468 nt
Filed under: uncultured bacterium
Lineage: Bacteria
Description: partial 16S ribosomal RNA
Rfam family: Bacterial small subunit ribosomal RNA
Source: RNAcentral
GAUGAACGCUGGCGGCGUGCUUAACACAUGCAAGUCGAACGGAAAGGCCCAAGCUUGCUUGGGUACUCGAGUGGCGAACGGGUGAGUAACACGUGGGUGAUCUGCCCUGCACUUCGGGAUAAGCCUGGGAAACUGGGUCUAAUACCGGAUAGGAUCACUUCUUGGAUGUUGUGGUGGAAAGUUUUUCGGUGUGGGAUGAGCUUGCGGCCUAUCAGCUUGUUGGUGGGGUAAUGGCCUACCAAGGCGUCGACGGGUAGCCGGCCUGAGAGGGUGUACGGCCACAUUGGGACUGAGAUGCGGCCCAGACUCCUACGGGAGGCAGCAGUGGGGAAUAUUGCACAAUGGGCGCAAGCCUGAUGCAGCGACGCCGCGUGGGGGAUGACGGCCUUCGGGUUGUAAACUCCUUUCGCUAGGGACGAAGCUCAUUUUGUGACGGUACCUGGAGAAGAAGCACCGGCUAACUACGUG